This 1432-nucleotide long non-coding RNA is filed under the name Paramuricea clavata. The record is from RNAcentral. Lineage: Eukaryota; Metazoa; Cnidaria; Anthozoa; Malacalcyonacea; Plexauridae.
UUGUUGAGUGGAAUGCAAGGACCGGUUGUAACACCAUUGCCCUAACGUUGAUCAAUGGGAAAAUUGAAUACUCAGGUAAAACAUUUGUAUACGUUAUAUGAUAUUGAUAUAUUUUAUUAAUUAAUGCUAAAAUUUAUCUUAUUUUCAAAUCUUAUUCAUUCCAGCAUUGUCGUUCAUUGUGUACAAGCAGCAGUGUUUAGGUUUUGACUAUAAUCUUAAUAUACAUUGUUGUCUCUCAAAAGAUUCAGACAGGACCACGUGAAAGGUUGUAGUGCCAGCAGUUGCUGGGCCAGACCUUUCCAAGGGCCCUAUGAUGUAAUAUAAAUUGCAUCAAACUCUCUCUCUCUCUCAUGCUAACUAAUAAUGAGUAAGUGGACGAGGUGAUAAGCAAAUUCUCACUUAUAUGUAAAUUGUUAAUAGCAAUAUGCGUGUUUCGUUAUUGAAUAGAUGCCGAAAAAGAAAUAUAAAAAAGGGCCCCUUUACUGGGUCUUUUGCCAGAAAAUACGACAAGAGGCAACUGGCGUCCUUGCAAAACAGGGUAAGAAAUUAUUUGUAUUUAGACUACAUGACAAAACACUAUACGCUAUAGAACUAUGAAAGCAACAAAAUCUUAUUUAUGUUAAUAAUAUUUUAAGCUUGUUGAGUGGAAUGCAAGGACCGGUUGUAACACCAUUGCCUAACGUUGAUCAAUGGGAAAAUUGAAUACUCAGGUAAAACAUUUGUAUACGUUAUAUGAUAUUGAUAUAUUUUAUUAAUUAAUGCUAAAAUUUAACUUAUUUUCAAAUCUUAUUCAUUCCAGCAUUGUCGUUCAUUGUGUACAAGCAGCAGUGUUUAGGUUUUGACUAUAAUCUUAAUAUACAUUGUUGUCUCUCAAAAGAUUCAGACAGGACCACGUGGAAGGUUGUAGUGCCAGCAGUUGCUGGGCCAGACCUUACCAAGGGCCCUAUGAUGUAAUAUAAAUUGCAUCAAACUCUCUCUCUCUCUCAUGCUAACUAAUAAUGAGUAAGUGGACGAGGUGAUAAGCAAAUUCUCCCUUAUAUGUAAAUUGUUAAUAGCAAUAUGCGUGUUUCGUUAUUGAAUAGAUGCCGAAAAAGAAAUAUAAAAAAGGGCCCCUUACUGGGUCUUUUGCCAGAAAAUACGACAAGAGGCAACUGGCGUCCUUGCAAAACAGGGUAAGAAAUUAUUCAUAUUUAGACUACAUGACAGAACACUAUACGCUAUAGAACUAUGAAAGCAACAAAAUCUUAUUUAUGUUAAUAAUAUUUUAAGCUUGUUGAGUGGAAUGCAAGGACCAGUUGUAACACCAUUGCCCUAACGUUGAUCAAUGGGAAAAUUGAAUACUCAGGUAAAACAUUUGUAUACGUUAUAUGAUAUUGAUAUAUUUUAUUAAUUAAUGCUAAAAUUUAACUUAUUUUCAAAUCUUAUUCAUUCC